This 292-nucleotide long non-coding RNA is filed under the name Cyanistes caeruleus (blue tit). Its description in RNAcentral is "lncRNA (ENSCCEG00000006670.1)". Lineage: Eukaryota; Metazoa; Chordata; Aves; Passeriformes; Paridae. The record is from RNAcentral.
UACAGUUUCUUGACUCAUUAUUCAUUAAAAAUCUAUUACUACCAACAGAAGAUGCUCAGGUCAAGGUCUUGGCUGCUCUGAAAUGCACACUUAAAUACUCAGCGUGAAUUCUGGUGGGCCUUUGCACUUACCCAGCAAGUGAGGAUACUCCUGGGAACCCUGCAGAGAAUUGCUCAAUAUUCUAUAAGACUGCAGUCUCUAAAUUCAGACAGUAUGUGCAGCAUGGGUCUCUAAAAAGAUUUUUAAAAAGGGUUUCAAGGGACCCUGUGUUGUACUCUGGAAUAGUUUGUGG